AUUGAACGCUGGCGGCGUGCUUAACACAUGCAAGUCGAGCGGUAACAGGCGUAGCAAUACGUGCUGACGAGCGGCGAACGGGUGCGUAAUACCUGGGAAUCUGCCCUUUGGUGGGGAAUAACCCGGCGAAAGCCGGGCUAAUGCCGCAUAAGAUCUUCGGAUGAAAGCGGGGGACCGUAAGGCCUCGCGCCGAUGGAAGAGCCAUUGUCGGAUUAGUUAGUUGGUGAGGUAACGGCUCACCAGGGCGACGAUCCGUAGCUGGUCUGAGGGGACGGCCAGCGAAACUGGAACUGAGACACGGCCCAGACUCCUACGGGAGGCAGCAGUGGGGAAUAUUGGACAAUGGGGGAAACCCUGAUCCAGCGACGCCGCGUGUGUGAAGAAGGCCUGCGGGUUGUAAAGCACUUUCGAUGGGAACGAAAUGUGCCGGGCUAAUACCCCGGCAAGCUGACGUUACUCAAUGAAGAAGCACCGGCUAACUCUGUGCCAGCCGCCGCCGUAA
This 502-nucleotide ribosomal RNA is filed under the name uncultured bacterium. RNAcentral's name for it is "partial 16S ribosomal RNA". It matches the Rfam family "Bacterial small subunit ribosomal RNA", at positions 29 to 523 of the family's 1533-position model. The record is from RNAcentral.